GUCGAGAAUCUUUCACAAUGGGGGCAACCCUGAUGGAGCGACGCCGCGUGGAGGAUAAGGUCUUCGGAUUGUAAACUCCUGUCAUGCGUGAACAAGGUUGCUUGGUUAAUACCUGGGCAAAUUGAUGGUAACGCAAGAGGAAGAGACGGCUAACUCUGUGCCAGCAGCCGCGGUAAUACAGAGGUCUCAAGCGUUGUUCGGAAUCACUGGGCGUAAAGGGUGCGUAGGUGGCGUGGUAAGUCAGAUGUGAAAGCCCGGGGCUCAACCUCGGAACUGCAUCCGAUACUGCCAUGCUAGAGUACUGGAGAGGUGAGUAGAAUUCUCGGUGUAGCAGUGAAAUGCGUAGAUAUCGAGAGGAAUACCAAAGGCGUAGGCAGGUCACUGGACAGUUACUGACACUGAGGCACGAAGGCCAGGGGAGCGAACGGGAUUAGAAACCCUUGUAGUCC
RNAcentral lists this ribosomal RNA (449 nucleotides) under uncultured bacterium. RNAcentral's name for it is "partial 16S ribosomal RNA". It matches the Rfam family "Bacterial small subunit ribosomal RNA", at positions 354 to 796 of the family's 1533-position model. The record is from RNAcentral.